This 1226-nucleotide ribosomal RNA is filed under the name Geobacillus sp. WSUCF1. Its description in RNAcentral is "bacterial LSU rRNA". It matches the Rfam family "Bacterial large subunit ribosomal RNA", at positions 1594 to 2820 of the family's 2925-position model. Lineage: Bacteria; Bacillati; Bacillota; Bacilli; Caryophanales; Anoxybacillaceae. The record is from RNAcentral.
CCGAUUUCACACUGCCAAGAAAAGCCUCUAGCGAGGGAAGAGGUGCCCGUACCGCAAACCGACACAGGUAGGCGAGGAGAGAAUCCUAAGGCGCGCGGGAGAACUCUCGUUAAGGAACUCGGCAAAAUGACCCCGUAACUUCGGGAGAAGGGGUGCUCUUUGGGGUGAAGAGCCCUGAAGAGCCGCAGUGAAAAGGCCCAAGCGACUGUUUAUCAAAAACACAGGUCUCUGCGAAGCCGAAAGGCGACGUAUAGGGGCUGACACCUGCCCGGUGCUGGAAGGUUAAGGGGAGCGCUUAGCGGAAGCGAAGGUGCGAACCGAAGCCCCAGUAAACGGCGGCCGUAACUAUAACGGUCCUAAGGUAGCGAAAUUCCUUGUCGGGUAAGUUCCGACCCGCACGAAAGGUGUAACGACUUGGGCGCUGUCUCAACGAGAGACCCGGUGAAAUUAUACUACCUGUGAAGAUGCAGGUUACCCGCGACAGGACGGAAAGACCCCGUGGAGCUUUACUGCAGCCUGAUAUGGAAUUUUGGUAUCGCUUGUACAGGAUAGGUGGGAGCCUGGGAAGCCGGAGCGCCAGCUUCGGUGGAGGCGGCGGUGGGAUACCACCCUGGCGGUAUUGAAAUUCUAACCCGCACCCCUUAACGGGGUGGGAGACAGUGUCAGGUGGGCAGUUUGACUGGGGCGGUCGCCUCCCAAAAGGUAACGGAGGCGCCCAAAGGUUCCCUCAGAAUGGUUGGAAAUCAUUCGGAGAGUGCAAAGGCACAAGGGAGCUUGACUGCGAGACGGACAGGUCGAGCAGGGACGAAAGUCGGGCUUAGUGAUCCGGUGGUUCCGCAUGGAAGGGCCAUCGCUCAACGGAUAAAAGCUACCCCGGGGAUAACAGGCUGAUCUCCCCCAAGAGUCCACAUCGACGGGGAGGUUUGGCACCUCGAUGUCGGCUCAUCGCAUCCUGGGGCUGUAGUCGGUCCCAAGGGUUGGGCUGUUCGCCCAUUAAAGCGGUACGCGAGCUGGGUUCAGAACGUCGUGAGACAGUUCGGUCCCUAUCCGUCGCGGGCGGAGGAAAUUUGAGAGGAGCUGUCCUUAGUACGAGAGGACCGGGAUGGACGCACCGCUGGUGUACCAGUUGUCCCGCCAGGGGCACCGCUGGGUAGCUAUGUGCGGACGGGAUAAGCGCUGAAAGCAUCUAAGCGUGAAGCCCCCCUCAAGAUGAGAUUUCCCACCGC